GAUGAACGCUGGCGGCGUGCCUAAUACAUGCAAGUCGAACGGAAAGGCCUCUUCGGAGGUACUCGAGUGGCGGACGGCUGAGUAACGCGUAGGAAUGUACCCCAAAGUGAGGAAUAACUGCCCGAAAGGGUAGCUAAUACCGCAUGUGCUCUAAGGAGUAAAGCUUCGGCGCUUUGGGAACAGCCUGCGUAAGAUUAGCUUGUUGGUGAGGUAAUGGCUCACCAAGGCGACGGUCUUUAGCUGGUCUGAGAGGAUGAUCAGCCAGACUGGGACUGAGACACGGCCCAGACUCCUACGGGAGGCAGCAGUAGGGAAUUUUCCACAAUGGACGAAAGUCUGAUGGAGCAACGCCGCGUGCAGGAUGAAGGCCCUUGGGUUGUAAACUGCUUUUAUAUGUGAAGAAAAUGACGGUAGCAUAUGAAUAAGGAUCGGCUAACUCCGUGCCAGCCGCCGCGGUAA
Molecule: ribosomal RNA, 459 nt
Filed under: uncultured bacterium
Lineage: Bacteria
Description: partial 16S ribosomal RNA
Rfam family: Bacterial small subunit ribosomal RNA
Source: RNAcentral